Molecule: long non-coding RNA, 713 nt
Filed under: Mytilus galloprovincialis (Mediterranean mussel)
Lineage: Eukaryota; Metazoa; Mollusca; Bivalvia; Mytilida; Mytilidae
Source: RNAcentral
UUGUAAGAUCUUGACAUUUGUUUCGUAUCAGAAACUCAUUUAUGUCAUAAUUUGACACAAAUCCAAAUCAAGCUGUAUCAAGCUUGAAUGUUGUGUCCAUACUUGCCCCAACUGUUCAGGGUUCGACCUCUGCUGUCGUAUAAAGCUGCGCCCUGUGGAGCACCUGGUUAUAAGUCGCUAAAAGCUUAAAAUUAAACUUUCUAUUUAGUUUGACAUAACAAUUCUUAAAUUUGUUCAAAUAUCAACUUUAGGAUUGUCUCAUUACCGCUUUUUGUCUACGAGACCAACAUAAUUUAUACAAUUUUAAUACGCUCCACUUUGAGAUUAUUUUUCAUAAAUGGAAUAUAAUUUACUGCAAAUAUUUUCAUUGGUAUUUCAAUGUUAAUAUGCUAGACAGUAUCAAUUGUUUCUUCUAUUUCAUUUGGGGAAAAUGUCUGUCAUUUCAGUUGUGAUAUACGUAGUCAUUACAGUUGUGAUAUAAGUAAUGAAGUCCGUCCAUAAUUAAGCAUUUAUAUAUGAUAUGAAAUACCCCUUUACAUUGAUGUAGAAUAGUAUUUAUAGUUUUAUGACGUUUUUGUGGUACACAUUCUGAACAAAGAGAAAUAUGGUUAUUAUUUAACUUUUUUUGAUCAAGCAAAUGCUUAUGGUUAUUAAUGUAUAAUGGGGGUUUUAUUUAAUUUUUAUUGUCGAGCCUGCAACUUUGUUGCAGAAAG